This 494-nucleotide ribosomal RNA is filed under the name uncultured bacterium. RNAcentral describes it as "partial 16S ribosomal RNA". It matches the Rfam family "Bacterial small subunit ribosomal RNA", at positions 28 to 507 of the family's 1533-position model. The record is from RNAcentral.
GACGAACGCUGGCGGCGUGCUUAACACAUGCAAGUCGAACGGAAAGGCCUGCUUUCCCUUGUGGAUUGCGGGUACUCGAGUGGCGAACGGGUGAGUAACACGUGAGUGAUCUGCCCCCAACUUGGGUAUAAGCCUGGGAAACUGGGUCUAAUUCCCGAUAGGACUGCAGGGUGGUGCCUGUGGUGGAAAACGAUUUUCUAGUGGUUGGGGAUGAGCUCGCGGCCUAUCAGCUUGUUGGUGGGGUAAUGGCCUACCAAGGCGGCGACGGGUAGCCGGCCUGAGAGGGUGGACGGCCACAUUGGGACGGAGAUACGGCCCAGACUACUACGGGAGGCAGCAGUGGGGAAUAUUGCACAAUGGGCGGAAGACUGAUGCAGCGACGCCGCGUGGGGGAUGACGGCCUUCGGGUUGUAAACUCCUUUCGACCGCGAGGAAGCCACCUGGUUGGAAGGGUGGUGACGGUAGUGGUAGAAGAAGCACCGGCUAACUACGUG